UCACCCUCCUUCUCCACACACACAAACACCUCCACACCUGACCUGCCCUCGACACACUCCCGAUUUAGCGCCCAAACACAUACCCAUACCGCCUCGCCCUCCCUCUCUCUGCUUGUGUUUUGCGCCUUCCUUGUACGUCUUUUCUAGUACCUUUUCUUAUUGUUAUAUACUUGAGAGAGAACACCUGACAUUGCGCCUUCUCCCGCCGCCCUCGUCCACGCACAGCCUCCCAUUAGGAAUACGCGCUCGAGUCGCUGACGUCCUCAUUGUCCUUCUUGCGGCCUUCCCUUGCUUGCUGUUCCGAUCCGCGCGAAAUGUUCCGCCGUGUUUCGGCUGCUUCGGCGAGCUCGCUCGUCGCCGCACGCUCCUUCUCCAGCACCAACGUCUACCUGGACAAGCGCAUCAAGGUAAAGAAUGAGGUGGUAGACAUGGACGGCGACGAGAUGACGCGCAUUAUCUGGUCAUUCAUCAAGGAAAAGCUGAUCCUGCCCUACGUGGAUGUCCCGAUCAACUACUUUGACCUCAGCGUGACUAACCGUGACGCGACGAACGACAAGGUCACGGUUGAAGCCGCCGAAGCGAUCAAGAAGUGCAACGUUGGCAUCAAGUGCGCCACCAUCACCCCCGAUGAGGCCCGCGUGAAGGAGUUCAACCUGAAGAAGAUGUGGAAGAGCCCAAACGGCACCAUCCGGAACAUCCUUGGCGGCACGGUGUUCCGUGAGCCGAUCAUCGUCUCCAACAUCCCACGUAUCGUCCCUCAGUGGCACAAUCCCAUCGUGGUCGGCCGCCACGCCUUCGGCGACCAGUACAAGGCGACGGAUGCUGUUUUGAAGCCCGGCAAGCUGCAGCUCGUGCACACACCCGCCGACGGCAGCGCGCCGACAACGCUGGAUGUAUACGACUUCAAGGGCGAGGGUGUCGGGCUGGCCAUGUACAACACGAAGGAGAGCAUUGAGGGCUUUGCGAAGAGCUGCUUCCAGUACGCGUUGAUGCGCAAGUACCCACUGGUUUUGACGACGAAGAACACCAUCCUGAAGAAGUACGAUGGCAUGUUCCUGCAGACCUUCCAGCGCAUGUAUGACGAGCAGUACAAGGCCGACUUCGAGAAGGCCGGCAUCACGUACAACCACCGCCUCAUCGAUGACCAGGUGGCGCAGAUGAUCAAGGGCGAGGGCGGCUUCGUGUGGGCGUGCAAGAACUACGAUGGCGACGUGCAGAGCGACAUCGUGGCGCAAGGCUUCGGCUCGCUGGGCCUCAUGACAUCUGUGCUGAUGUGCCCGGAUGGCAAGACAAUCGAGGCCGAGGCCGCCCACGGCACGGUGACGCGUCACUACCGCCAGCAUCAGCAGGGCAAGGAGACGAGCACGAACUCCGUCGCCUCCAUCUACGCCUGGACGCGCGGUCUCGCCCAUCGUGGCAAGCUUGACGGCAACAGCGACCUCGUCAAGUUCUCGGAGACGCUGGAGAGGGUGGUCGUCAAGGCGAUUGAGGAUGGCCACAUGACGAAGGACCUGGCCCUCUGCGUCUACGGCUCCAGCGGCGUCAAGCGUGAACAUUACGAGACGACGGAGCAGUUCCUCGACAGCGUCGAUGCAGCCCUGAAGAAGGCGAUGAGCGCGUAAAGAGGCGGCACAGUGACGGACGAAAGCGCUAGCAAGGAGACCCUGCGGACGUGAGGAAAUACGUGUGCGGGGAGGCGCGCUUGCCAGCGCCGCGCUGUUCCGUCGGCGCAUGUCUUCUCCUGUGCGUGUGCCUGCAUUUUGGUGUGUGUCUCGUAGCAUUCAGGACGGCUGCGGCCACCUUCUCGUCCGCCCCUGUGCCGGUAUGGUGUGCGCCUGUGCGCUUCGCAGGCGCCGAAAACGGUGCGUGUGGCUAGCCCCGCUCUUUCAAGCUCGCCCUCGCCGUCUGUGCCUUCUCCGCGGCACCAGCACCGCCACCGUCACCUGUGGUAUGGCCAUCAACGUCCGUUUUCCGUGCCCUAACGCCGUUCUCCGCUGCUGGCUCGUGGACACAUCCCGCAAGCAGUCAGAGACAGCGGGACAGUGGCUGUAAGCGGAGAGCGAGAGGCGGUAGCGGCGGGAGUCGAGGAGGCGGGAGCUGACUAGCUUCAAGCCGUAGGCGGUGCCAGAUGAGGAUCCUGCCGAUGAGGUGUGGGCCCGCCCCUCACCAUUGAGGUCACCAUCAACUAUACAGCACACCAAAGAAAAGAGCGACGUGGCCGUCGCAGCGAAGGCAACGACGAAGAACAGCUGCGCCUAGUGUGUAUAUAUAAGCUAUCUAUAUCUUUCCCACUAACGUAUUUUCCAUUGAAGUAUUGACGUUUCCCGUUGCUUGCGUGUGUGUGCGGAUGAGAUGUAUGCGAACGGCGCACCUCAAUGCUGGUAACAGUUUGUCGGCGGCGGCGCGGGGAGGGUGGUGGGGAGUGGCCAGCACCCCAUGAAUUCGUGGCGCUCCCUCUUGUGUGUUUCAAAUCUCCGCCGGCGAGGACGUGAGAAAGCCGAGAUCGCUCAUACACGCUGCGGAGCUUUUUUUUACAGACUGAGCAAGUGGCCGCCGUCCAG
Molecule: unclassified non-coding RNA, 2561 nt
Filed under: Leishmania donovani
Lineage: Eukaryota; Euglenozoa; Kinetoplastea; Trypanosomatida; Trypanosomatidae
Description: gene:LdHU3.10.0440(CDS-product:isocitrate_dehydro genase_[NADP]_mitochondrial_precursor_putative)
Source: RNAcentral